RNAcentral lists this transfer RNA (74 nucleotides) under Bacteriophage sp. RNAcentral describes it as "tRNA-OTHER". It matches the Rfam family "tRNA". Rfam says of the family: Transfer RNA (tRNA) molecules are approximately 80 nucleotides in length. Their secondary structure includes four short double-helical elements and three loops (D, anti-codon, and T loops). The record is from RNAcentral.
ACGGAGUUAGCUUAAUGGCUAGAGCACCCACGUAAUCAUGAGGGGUUGUAUUGGUUCGAAUCCUUUACUCCGUA